GAGGGAAUAGCUCAGUGGUGGAGUGCGUGCUUAGCAUGCAUGAGGUCAUGGAUUCAAUCCCCAGUACCUCCA
This 72-nucleotide transfer RNA is filed under the name Camelus bactrianus (Bactrian camel). It matches the Rfam family "tRNA". From Rfam's summary of the family: Transfer RNA (tRNA) molecules are approximately 80 nucleotides in length. Their secondary structure includes four short double-helical elements and three loops (D, anti-codon, and T loops). Further hydrogen bonds mediate the characteristic L-shaped molecular structure. tRNAs have two regions of fundamental functional importance: the anti-codon, which is responsible for specific mRNA codon recognition, and the 3' end, to which the tRNAs corresponding amino acid is attached (by aminoacyl-tRNA synthetases). tRNAs cope with the degeneracy of the genetic code in two manners: having more than one tRNA (with a specific anti-codon) for a particular amino acid; and 'wobble' base-pairing, i.e. permitting non-standard base-pairing at the 3rd anti-codon position. The record is from Rfam by way of RNAcentral. Lineage: Eukaryota; Metazoa; Chordata; Mammalia; Artiodactyla; Camelidae. RNAcentral also lists the same sequence under 3 other names.